Molecule: ribosomal RNA, 500 nt
Filed under: uncultured bacterium
Lineage: Bacteria
Description: partial 16S ribosomal RNA
Rfam family: Bacterial small subunit ribosomal RNA
Source: RNAcentral
AUUGAACGCUGGCGGAAUGCUUUACACAUGCAAGUCGAACGGCAGCACGGACUUCGGUCUGGCGGCGAGUGGCGAACGGGUGAGUAAUAUAUCGGAACAUGCCCAGUCGUGGGGGAUAACGUAGUGAAAAUUACGCUAAUACCGCAUACGAUCUAUGGAUGAAAGCGGGGGAUCGCAAGACCUCGCGCGAUUGGAGCGGCCGAUAUCAGAUUAGGUAGUUGGUGAGGUAAAGGCUCACCAAGCCAACGAUCUGUAGCUGGUCUGAGAGGACGACCAGCCACACUGGAACUGAGACACGGUCCAGACUCCUACGGGAGGCAGCAGUGGGGAAUUUUGGACAAUGGACGAAAGUCUGAUCCAGCCAUUCCGCGUGCAGGACGAAGGCCUUCGGGUUGUAAACUGCUUUUGUACGGAACGAAAAGGUCUCUAUUAAUACUAGGGGCUCAUGACGGUACCGUAAGAAUAAGCACCGGCUAACUACGUGCCAGCAGCCGCGGUAA